RNAcentral lists this ribosomal RNA (96 nucleotides) under Vibrio alginolyticus. RNAcentral's name for it is "partial 16S ribosomal RNA". It matches the Rfam family "Bacterial small subunit ribosomal RNA", at positions 1 to 98 of the family's 1533-position model. RNAcentral also lists the same sequence under 1 other name. Lineage: Bacteria; Pseudomonadati; Pseudomonadota; Gammaproteobacteria; Vibrionales; Vibrionaceae. The record is from RNAcentral.
UUAAAUUGAAGAGUUUGAUCAUGGCUCAGAUUGAACGCUGGCGGCAGGCCUAACACAUGCAAGUCGAGCGGAAACGAGUUAUCAGAACCUUCGGGG